Molecule: ribosomal RNA, 431 nt
Filed under: uncultured bacterium
Lineage: Bacteria
Description: partial 16S ribosomal RNA
Rfam family: Bacterial small subunit ribosomal RNA
Source: RNAcentral
AACGAACGCUGGCGGCAGGCUUAACACAUGCAAGUCGAGCGCCCCGCAAGGGGAGCGGCAGACGGGUGAGUAACGCGUGGGAACGUACCUUUUGGUUCGGAACAACUCCGGGAAACUGGAGCUAAUACCGGAUAAGCCCUAACGGGGAAAGAUUUAUCGCCGAAAGAUCGGCCCGCGUCUGAUUAGCUCGUUGGUGAGGUAACGGCUCACCAAGGCGACGAUCAGUAGCUGGUCUGAGAGGAUGAUCAGCCACACUGGGACUGAGACACGGCCCAGACUCCUACGGGAGGCAGCAGUGGGGAAUAUUGGACAAUGGGCGCAAGCCUGAUCCAGCCAUGCCGCGUGAGUGAUGAAGGCCUUAGGGUUGUAAAGCUCUUUUGUCCGGGAAGAUAAUGACUGUACCGGAAGAAUAAGCCCCGGCUAACUUCGUG